AUGGCAAGUCCCGCAUCCGCGUCUGACACCGUCCCGCCUCGGCCGACGGCCACCUCUUCGCCGAGUGGAGCGUCACCGUCAGUGUCGUCUCCGACUGCCAUCGUCGUCACCGACUCCAUCAAGAACACCGUGUAUGUGAAGGCAAGGAGUGUUUCCUGGGAAGGCAUUUCACCUCACUAUACCCGCAGAAAUAACUCAUAUGAAGAACUGAGGCUUUGGUGUGGUCAUUGGCCUCCUGAACUGCCAAGCUGUAAAUCUUCAGAGGUUGUUCAUGCCAUAUGA
Molecule: ribosomal RNA, 282 nt
Filed under: Triticum aestivum (bread wheat)
Lineage: Eukaryota; Viridiplantae; Streptophyta; Magnoliopsida; Poales; Poaceae
Description: partial small subunit ribosomal RNA
Source: RNAcentral